Molecule: long non-coding RNA, 720 nt
Filed under: Zea mays
Lineage: Eukaryota; Viridiplantae; Streptophyta; Magnoliopsida; Poales; Poaceae
Description: long non-coding RNA (ZMAY_LNC003992)
Source: RNAcentral
UCGAAAUUUAAAAUACUAUCGGUAACCAAAGCAAUAUGAAAACAUCCCAAUAUAAUAGGCUCACUAACUGUAUCAUAGUCACUCGCAAUUUACAUGGUAGAAACUAGCAUAUUCAUACGCUGAGGCCACCUGGGAGAGAUCACCGGUGCUAACAAAUUCAAUAUUCAUACAGAGACUAUAUUCAUAUAGAGAGCAAAGCAAAUAGUUGCUAGUUCAGUAGUUUAUAGUUUAUACGUGGUGCCUGUCUGUACGACUCUAUCUCUGUUGAUGCCGUCGCCGAUCUGGGAGGCCACGACGCUGCGGCGUUUUUGGGAGGGCGAGAGGGGAGGGCGAGGGCGUGAUGCCGACGCACGGCUUGCAAGGCACGACGGCGAUUCAGCUAGGACGAAGACGACGAGUCAGCCAUGGACGACCGGAUGAGAGUUGAGAGAGGCUGGAACUGGACCUGGGAAUGGGAGCGUCCGCACGUUCGACUCUGCUGGGUGCCGCGGUCGCCGCCCACCGACGGACCCUGCAGCUUGCUCUACUGUAGCCGCCACCCGUCGGAACCCUAGCUCCAUGGCUGCGCUGCGUGGGCGAGAGACUAGCGAGAGAAGCCACUAUCGUUGACGGUCAGCAUUCAGCCCCCUAGCUAAUUGCUGUUUUCUACGAUGUGUCGUUGUUUGUCAAACGUUCAACCAUAAGCUAUUUCCCAUACUGUAGCCCCACUAGUUAAGUGUU